GGGGUUCUGGCCGAGUGGUUAAGGCGCUGUGUUUAGGCCAGGUGCUAAUCCGCAGUGGGAAACCGCGCAGGUUCGAAUCCUGCGGACCUCA
RNAcentral lists this transfer RNA (91 nucleotides) under Blumeria hordei DH14. RNAcentral describes it as "tRNA-Leu for anticodon UAG". It matches the Rfam family "tRNA". From Rfam's summary of the family: Transfer RNA (tRNA) molecules are approximately 80 nucleotides in length. The record is from Rfam by way of RNAcentral. Lineage: Eukaryota; Fungi; Ascomycota; Leotiomycetes; Helotiales; Erysiphaceae.